UCCUACGGGGGGCAGCAGUAGGGAAUUUUCGUCAAUGGGCGCAAGCCUGAACGAGCAAUGCCGCGUGAACGAGGAAGGUCUUCGGAUCGUAAAGUUCUGUUGAAGGGGAAAAAGAGCGGAGAGAGGAAAUGGUCUCCGAUUGAUAUUACCCUUCGAGGAAGUCACGGCUAACUACGUGCCAGCAGCCGCGGUAAUACGUAGGUGGCGAGCGUUCUCCGGAAUGAUUGGGCGUAAAGGGUGCGUAGGCGGCCUGCUAAGUCUGGAGUGAACGGUACCGGCUCAACCGGAACACACUCUGGAAACUG
RNAcentral lists this ribosomal RNA (305 nucleotides) under uncultured bacterium. RNAcentral describes it as "bacterial SSU rRNA". It matches the Rfam family "Bacterial small subunit ribosomal RNA", at positions 337 to 635 of the family's 1533-position model. The record is from RNAcentral.